ACCGUAACUAACCGUGCGCCCUAAACGGAUUCCCACCAAAGGUAAGGCGGGCCGUUUCAAUAGGAAGGCAAGGGUUGAUCACGUGGUUCACUCUGCUUCGGGGGGGGGAUAACAUUUGGAAACAGAUGCUAAUACCGAAUAAAACUUAGUGUCCCAUGACCCAAAGUUAAAAGGGCUUUGGGCUUCACCUAAGACGGUUUCCGGGCGCAUUAGUUAGUUGGGUGCUAAAGGCCUCACCAGCCAAUGUAGGCAUAGCGGAUUGAAGGAUUGAUCGGCCCCAUGGGGACUGAGACACGGCCCAAACUCCUACGGGAGGCUGCAGUAGGGAAUUUUCCACAAUGGGCGAAAGCCUGAUGGAGCAACGCCGCGUGGUUGAUGAAGGCUUUCGGGUCGUAAAGCACUGUUGUAUGGGAAGAACAGCUAGAAUAGGAAAUGAUUUUAGUUUGACGGUACCAUACCAGAAAGGGACGGCUAAAUACGUGCCAGCAGCCGCGGUAAUACGUAUGUCCCGAGCGUUAUCCGGAUUUAUUGGGCGUAAAGCGAGCGCAGACGGUUUAUUAAGUCUGAUGUGAAAGCCCGGAGCUCAACUCCGGAAUGGCAUUGGAAACUGGUUAACUUGAGUGCAGUAGAGGUAAGUGGAACUCCAUGUGUAGCGGUGGAAUGCGUAGAUAUAUGGAAGAACACCAGUGGCGAAGGCGGCUUACUGGACUGCAACUGACGUUGAGGCUCGAAAGUGUGGGUAGCAAACAGGAUUAGAUACCCUGGUAGUCCACACCGUAAACGAUGAACACUAGGUGUUAGGAGGUUUCCGCCUCUUAGUGCCGAAGCUAACGCAUUAAGUGUUCCGCCUGGGGAGUACGACCGCAAGGUUGAAACUCAAAGGAAUUGACGGGGACCCGCACAAGCGGUGGAGCAUGUGGUUUAAUUCGAAGCAACGCGAAGAACCUUACCAGGUCUUGACAUCCUUUGAAGCUUUUAGAGAUAGAAGUGUUCUCUUCGGAGACAAAGUGACAGGUGGUGCAUGGUCGUCGUCAGCUCGUGUCGUGAGAUGUUGGGUUAAGUCCCGCAACGAGCGCAACCCUUAUUGUUAGUUGCCAGCAUUCAGAUGGGCACUCUAGCGAGACUGCCGGUGACAAACCGGAGGAAGGCGGGGACGACGUCAGAUCAUCAUGCCCCUUAUGACCUGGGCUACACACGUGCUACAAUGGCGUAUACAACGAGUUGCCAGCCCGCGAGGGUGAGCUAAUCUCUUAAAGUACGUCUCAGUUCGGAUUGUAGUCUGCAACUCGACUACAUGAAGUCGGAAUCGCUAGUAAUCGCGGAUCAGCACGCCGCGGUGAAUACGUUCCCGGGUCUUGUACACACCGCCCGUCACACCAUGGGAGUUUGUAAUGCCCAAAGCCGGUGGCCUAACCUUUUAGGAAGGAGCCGUCUAAGGCAGGACAGAUGACUGGGGUGAAGUCGUAACAAGUGCAUGCCU
This 1480-nucleotide ribosomal RNA is filed under the name Leuconostoc mesenteroides. RNAcentral describes it as "bacterial SSU rRNA". It matches the Rfam family "Bacterial small subunit ribosomal RNA". Lineage: Bacteria; Bacillati; Bacillota; Bacilli; Lactobacillales; Lactobacillaceae. The record is from RNAcentral.